GACGAACGCUGGCGGCGUGCUUAACACAUGCAAGUCGAACGGAAAGGCCCGGCUUUUGUGGGGUGCUCGAGUGGCGAACGGGUGAGUAACACGUGAGUAACCUGCCCUUGACUUUGGGAUAACUUCAGGAAACUGGGGCUAAUACCGGAUAGGAGCUCCUGCUGCAUGGUGGGGGUUGGAAAGUUUCGGCGGUUGGGGAUGGACUCGCGGCUUAUCAGCUUGUUGGUGGGGUAGUGGCUUCCCAAGGCUUCGACGGGUAGCCGGCCUGGGAGGGUGACCGGCCACAUUGGGACUGAGGUACGGCCCAGACUCCUACGGGAGGCAGCAGUGGGGAAUAUUGCACAAUGGGCGGAAGCCUGAUGCAGCAACGCCGCGUGCGGGAUGACGGCCUUCGGGUUGUAAACCGCUUUCGCCUGUGACGAAGCGUGAGUGACGGUAAUGGGUAAAGAAGUACCGGCUAACUACGUG
This 468-nucleotide ribosomal RNA is filed under the name uncultured bacterium. RNAcentral describes it as "partial 16S ribosomal RNA". It matches the Rfam family "Bacterial small subunit ribosomal RNA", at positions 28 to 507 of the family's 1533-position model. The record is from RNAcentral.